Molecule: ribosomal RNA, 443 nt
Filed under: uncultured bacterium
Lineage: Bacteria
Description: partial 16S ribosomal RNA
Rfam family: Bacterial small subunit ribosomal RNA
Source: RNAcentral
CCUACGGGAGGCAGCAGUGGGGAAUAUUGGGCAAUGGGCGCAAGCCUGACCCAGCAACGCCGCGUGAAGGAAGAAGGCUUUCGGGUUGUAAACUUCUUUUAUCAGGGACGAAGCAAGUGACGGUACCUGAUGAAUAAGCCACGGCUAACUACGUGCCAGCAGCCGCGGUAAUACGUAGGUGGCAAGCGUUAUCCGGAUUUACUGGGUGUAAGGGGCGUGUAGGCGGGAGUGCAAGUCAGAAGUGAAAACUAUGGGCCCAACCCAUAGCCUGCAUUUGAAACUGUACUUCUUGAGUGCUGGAGAGGCAAUCGGAAUUCCGUGUGUAGCGGUGAAAUGCGUAGAUAUACGGAGGAACACCAGUGGCGAAGGCGGAUUGCUGGACAGUAACUGACGCUGAGGCGCGAAAGCGUGGGGAGCAAACAGGAUUAGAUACCCGGGUAGUC